Molecule: ribosomal RNA, 346 nt
Filed under: Chilochromis duponti
Lineage: Eukaryota; Metazoa; Chordata; Actinopteri; Cichliformes; Cichlidae
Description: partial 12S ribosomal RNA
Rfam family: Bacterial small subunit ribosomal RNA
Source: RNAcentral
UUUGAUAGUCCCCUACGUCCACUAUCCGCCCGGGUACUACGAGCACUAGCUUAAAACCCAAAGGACUUGGCGGUGCUUUAGAUCCACCUAGAGGAGCCUGUUCUAGAACCGAUAACCCCCGUUAAACCUCACCCUCUCUUGUUCUUUCCGCCUAUAUACCGCCGUCGUCAGCCUACCCUGUGAAGGAAUCACAGUAAGCAAAACUAGCAUAGCUCAAAACGCCAGGUCGAGGUGUAGCGUAUGAGAGGGGAAGAAAUGGGCUACAUUCCCUGUCACAGAGAAUACGAACAAUGCAAUGAAAUUUGCAUUAUGAAGGAGGAUUUAGCAGUAAGCAGAAAAUAGAGCG